This 628-nucleotide ribosomal RNA is filed under the name Salmonella enterica subsp. enterica serovar Reading. RNAcentral's name for it is "partial 23S ribosomal RNA". It matches the Rfam family "Bacterial large subunit ribosomal RNA", at positions 642 to 1269 of the family's 2925-position model. The record is from RNAcentral. Lineage: Bacteria; Pseudomonadati; Pseudomonadota; Gammaproteobacteria; Enterobacterales; Enterobacteriaceae.
AAGGUUAACCGAAUAGGGGAGCCGGAGGGAAACCGAGUCUUAAUUGGGCGUUAAGUUGCAGGGUAUAGACCCGAAACCCGGUGAUCUAGCCAUGGGCAGGUUGAAGGUUGGGUAACACUAACUGGAGGACCGAACCGACUAAUGUUGAAAAAUUAGCGGAUGACCUGUGGCUGGGGGUGAAAGGCCAAUCAAACCGGGAGAUAGCUGGUUCUCCCCGAAAGCUAUUUAGGUAGCGCCUCGUGAAUUCAUCUCCGGGGGUAGAGCACUGUUUCGGCUAGGGGGCCAUCCCGGCUUACCAACCCGAUGCAAACUGCGAAUACCGGAGAAUGUUAUCACGGGAGACACACGGCGGGUGCUAACGUCCGUCGUGAAGAGGGAAACAACCCAGACCGCCAGCUAAGGUCCCAAAGUCAUGGUUAAGUGGGAAACGAUGUGGGAAGGCCCAGACAGCCAGGAUGUUGGCUUAGAAGCAGCCAUCAUUUAAAGAAAGCGUAAUAGCUCACUGGUCGAGUCGGCCUGCGCGGAAGAUGUAACGGGGCUAAACCAUGCACCGAAGCUGCGGCAGCGACACUCAGGUGUUGUUGGGUAGGGGAGCGUUCUGUAAGCCUGUGAAGGUGGCCUGUGAGGG